RNAcentral lists this unclassified non-coding RNA (403 nucleotides) under soil metagenome. RNAcentral's name for it is "partial contains 5.8S ribosomal RNA, internal transcribed spacer 2, and large subunit ribosomal RNA". The stretch from base 1 to 122 matches the Rfam family "5.8S ribosomal RNA", at positions 35 to 154 of the family's 154-position model. The record is from RNAcentral.
GAUGAAGAACGUAGCAAAAUGCGAUACUUGGUGUGAAUUGCAGAAUCCCGUGAACCAUCGAGUUUUUGAACGCAAGUUGCGCCCGAAGCCUUUUGGCCGAGGGCACGUCUGCCUGGGCGUCACGCAUCGCGUCGCCCCCCACAAUUCUCCGUAAAGGGAACAUGUGUUUUGGGGGCGGAUAUUGGUCUCCCGUGCUCAUGGCGUGGUUGGCCGAAAUAGGAGUCCUUUCGAUGGACGCACGAACUAGUGGUGGUCGUAAAAACCCUCGUCUUUUGUUUCGUGCUGUUGCUCGCAAGGUAAACUCUUUAAAAACCCCAAUGUGUCGUCUCUUGACGACGCUUCGACCGCGACCCCAGGUCAGGCGGGACUACCCGCUGAGUUUAAGCAUAUCAAUAAGGGAGGA